RNAcentral lists this ribosomal RNA (300 nucleotides) under Triticum aestivum (bread wheat). Its description in RNAcentral is "partial small subunit ribosomal RNA". Lineage: Eukaryota; Viridiplantae; Streptophyta; Magnoliopsida; Poales; Poaceae. The record is from RNAcentral.
AUGCGGUUCCAGCAUCCUUGCCACACGAUCACAACACCAACCACUGAUGGCUCGGACAUAUGUGAUGCGUCGCAGCUCCACCUCCUCCCGGUCGUAGCUCUACCGCCCUAUGGUUCUAGCAUCCGCACCGCAUGGUUGCAUCGCCGUGACACCGUCGCUACUGGUUCCAGCAUUCACGACCCAGCAUCGCCACCGCCCCCACGUUGGAGCUUUUGUCCCCUGAUGUCAAUCGUAGCCCAACCAUCGUGCAUGUUGCAGCACCCACGCUGCUGGAUCAACAUCGACGCCGCACGGUCAUAG